CGGCCCAUAAGCUUCAAGCCCAAAGAUUCACUAGGGUUUUCUUGAAGAUUACUCCACCCAAGACCUAUAUAAAGGGGUCAAGGGAGAACGCUAAGGGACAAGCAAGUAAGCAGAAGGAAAGGCUAAAGAAGCUCCGAAGAAUAGCAUCAAGGUCUCCAUCCAUAGCUGCAAUCGUCGUCUGUGGUUAAAUUCCCAAAAGCGAACUCAAGACAUAGGAGGGCGGCUUCAAAUAUUCCGUUCGUGAUAACCCAACACCAAAUCCUGGUUCUUGACGAGCUUCAAAUUGUUUGUGACGUACUAUAAAUCUGAAAUCCGUCAAGUUCAAGAUCAAGCUUUCAAGCUCUUGAACCAUCAUCCAUGAGGAGAAGGAUUAGAUGACUACAUCUCUUUAGAUUUAGAGAUAUUUUAGAUAUUGUGACCCCAUCACUUGAAAUCAAUUAUAAUACUUGUUGCUAUAAUCAGAGGACUAUAUCUCUUUAGAUUUAGAGAUAUUUUAGAGAUUGUAACCCC
This 510-nucleotide long non-coding RNA is filed under the name Nicotiana benthamiana. RNAcentral's name for it is "long non-coding RNA (NBEN_LNC014947)". Lineage: Eukaryota; Viridiplantae; Streptophyta; Magnoliopsida; Solanales; Solanaceae. The record is from RNAcentral.